Long non-coding RNA from Diceros bicornis minor, 1263 nucleotides. RefSeq lists it as uncharacterized. The record is from RefSeq and is a predicted model, not a curated record. The transcript has 5 exons. Lineage: Eukaryota; Metazoa; Chordata; Mammalia; Perissodactyla; Rhinocerotidae.
AAAUUGAAGGAGCCUGGGUCUUCAAUGACUUUAUCUGUAGGAGAGCUGACCUACUGGCUGCAUGGCCCUGACUGUUAAUAGUAAAGAAAAACAUGUUUAGAAGGUUCUAGGCGUGAAGGCAUCUCUAUUUCCAGUCUCUCAGAGCUGUGAAAGUUAUUAGACUGUGCUCAGACUGCUAAGAUGUUGUCUGAAGACUUCCAGAGCAAGGAUUGCAGCAAGCAGCACAGAAGUUGAGCUGCCUUUGGUGACUGAGCUGUGGAAGUCCUAUAGCACCACUUCUGCCACGUUCCAUUGGUUAACACUGAAAGACAAGCUCAUCCAGAUUCAAGGGUUGGGCCAGUGAUGAAAAAACACAGAUAGCAUAUUUCCCACCUUGAAACACCACCACACAUCCAAGUGUGUGUUCAGUAGUUGAAUGUCCAGCAAGACGUGUGAAAGGUACGGAGGUGUGAAACAGAUCUUCCUCAGUUGGGACUCUCCUGUGCAUUAAGGAUGUCUGGCACCCUGGCUCCUUCCCACCAAAUGCCUGUAGUGCCCCACAAACGUGGAAGCAUGUCGUUCCCCUUGGGAGGUGGAGACCACUUAUUGUGCUCCUAAAGGAGCAUGAAGAGUUGCCUCUGUGGUCUUGAGGGGCUGGCGAAAUUAAGGUUUGACUUCUUAGGCAGCAGGAGAAUUCUUCAGAAAAGAAGGGAUCAGAGGCUGAGUGCUCCUUGGGUGGAGGAGACCAAGGUCUCACCAGAACAUAGAGUCUAGGAGAUGUUGUAACUCCCAAACGACAGCUGUACGGGUACGGGGGAGGGCUGUGCACUAAGAGUCUGCACAGGGGGACUAAAGCUGAGGUGGUGGUGACGACAUGGAUGCCACCUGCAGAGCAGUCCUCCUUUGCAUGUGGAUGGGCGUGAUGAGCGGCUCAACUGUGACCACGGUCUCUCCUCCGCUAUUUCCUCGGGAUUCUGUUAACUUGGGGGCUUCCUCCUAAGAGAGCAGAGGGAGCAUUUUAAAAUGACUGACAUUGCUGACCACUGCAAGUGGGAGUUCAGAAGUAGAUCUGAUUUGAUAUCAUAAGGAAAGGUGACAUUUCCUAGGACUUUGAGUAUGAGGAACAACUGAUUACACUAGCAUGCACACCUAACUUCAUUCACUCCUGCGAGUUUCUAGAGGAAUCAGUAUGAUUCCUUGCUGUGCACAUUCUUAUUCCCUUUAAACUCCCAUACACACAAAAAGUGUGAAAACAGUCUUUUUAUUUUGUGGAAACUCUUUAAA